CAAGUCAUCACCUGCUUCAGAAUUUCACUCUUGAGCCAAAGAAAACAAAAACUGCAAUUAGAGAUUUCUCUAACCUUGUUAAAGGAGACUAUGCACAGCAAUCCAUAAACUCAGUAGGUGCAAUUUCAUAGGUCUGAAGGAGGUGUAGGAUGCAUGACACCCAAAGUAAGAUACACAGUGGUGUCAUCGUGGUGGCUCAACCCAGCAAAGAGCCAAGAGUGUUCCAGUGUUCAAAGGAGAAGACAGGUCAGCCGCCUGAAGUACAGAGCAGGGUGGAGAAAUGGGACUAGAAGUACAAGCAGGACAUCUCCAGCUCAGUUGACCUCUUCAUACCAUCACUGACACACUGGUCUACACUAUUAUUUAUACUAUGUAUCU
This 378-nucleotide long non-coding RNA is filed under the name Homo sapiens (human). RNAcentral's name for it is "HSALNT0306413". The record is from RNAcentral. Lineage: Eukaryota; Metazoa; Chordata; Mammalia; Primates; Hominidae.